This 526-nucleotide ribosomal RNA is filed under the name uncultured Skermanella sp. RNAcentral describes it as "bacterial SSU rRNA". It matches the Rfam family "Bacterial small subunit ribosomal RNA", at positions 355 to 897 of the family's 1533-position model. Lineage: Bacteria; Pseudomonadati; Pseudomonadota; Alphaproteobacteria; Rhodospirillales; Azospirillaceae. The record is from RNAcentral.
UGGGGAAUAUUGGACAAUGGGCGCAAGCCUGAUCCAGCAAUGCCGCGUGAGUGAUGAAGGCCUUAGGGUUGUAAAGCUCUUUCGCCCGCGACGAUGAUGACGGUAGCGGGAGAAGAAGCCCCGGCUAACUCCGUGCCAGCAGCCGCGGUAAUACGGAGGGGGCUAGCGUUGUUCGGAAUUACUGGGCGUAAAGGGCGCGCAGGCGGCUGCUCAAGUCAGGCGUGAAAGGCCUGGGCUCAACCCGGGAAUUGCGCUUGAGACUGGGCUGGCUUGAGUGCGGGAGAGGAUGGUGGAAUUCCCAGUGUAGAGGUGAAAUUCGUAGAUAUUGGGAAGAACACCGGUGGCGAAGGCGGCCAUCUGGACCGCAACUGACGCUGAGGCGCGAAAGCGUGGGGAGCAAACAGGAUUAGAUACCCUGGUAGUCCACGCCGUAAACGAUGAGUGCUAGACGUUGGGAAGCCUAGCUUUCCGGUGUCGCAGCUAACGCAUUAAGCACUCCGCCUGGGGAGUACGGCCGCAAGGUUAA